UUGCACCAUAAGGAUACGUAGGCACGAGAUUGCGAGAUCUUGGCGAGCACACUAAUAAAAAACCUCCCUGUUCUUCUCUUGAGGUCUUCAUCCAUCUCUAUCCAAUAUUUAAUUACUCGAAUAAAGUGAAUAACAUGCAAUUAACAUUCAAAUAGCAAAUUAGACUAAAAGGUUCCCGUUGAGUACAACGGACGUGAGGGGUGCUAAUAUCUUCCCCUUGCGUAAUCGACUCCCGAACCCGAAUAUGGUUGCGACGACCAUUAUUCUGUUUUUCAAAGGUUUUAUCGAUAUUUUCCUAUUCCUUAAUUGGGAUAAAUAAAGUUCGGUGGCGACUCUGACUCCCGAACCCGAAUAUGGUUGCGACGACCAUUAUUCUGUUUUUCAAAGGUUUUAUCGAUAUUUUCCUAUUCCUUAAUUGGGAUAAAUAAAGUUCGGUGGCGACUCUGUUCGAACAUAAUUUUUUUUCCGCGACCAUCGCGAGGAAUCGUAUUUUUCGAGAUGCGACAGUAUGAAAUUGGUGCAUUAUGGUUCAUGACGGUUCAAGGGUUGUGCUUUCAAAGAGUUAUGCGAUUAGAGUUGUGACUGCGCAAGAGUUGUGCUUUAAAGUAUCAAGUGUUGAGGCGAAAAUCGACGUCGACUUCAAAUGAAUUUUUCAUUAAAAUUUUGCGUCGGAGCGCUGCCCCCUUGACCCCUGUCUGCUGAACGGUUAGUGGAACCCCCGGCUAACUCUACGUAGUGUGAUUAG
This 745-nucleotide long non-coding RNA is filed under the name Lathyrus oleraceus (garden pea). Its description in RNAcentral is "Pisum sativum (pea) long non-coding RNA (PSAT_LNC018757)". Lineage: Eukaryota; Viridiplantae; Streptophyta; Magnoliopsida; Fabales; Fabaceae. The record is from RNAcentral.